UUUGACUUUUGUUUGUGUUGUGUACUGAUUAUGUUGGAUUGUUUUCAGAUACCUUAGUUGCUAUAGUUCCUUUGUGAACUUGCUUUUUGCUUUGCUUGCUAGCUUGAGCAUUGAGGUAUAAUGUCUCUAACUCCAUGUAGUCUGGAAGACCUGGCCUGUUACUUGGCCAGGCACCUGUCUGAAGUCCUCCUUAAGAGGCAAUGUUUGUG
Molecule: long non-coding RNA, 209 nt
Filed under: Lathyrus oleraceus (garden pea)
Lineage: Eukaryota; Viridiplantae; Streptophyta; Magnoliopsida; Fabales; Fabaceae
Description: Pisum sativum (pea) long non-coding RNA (PSAT_LNC008916)
Source: RNAcentral